This 168-nucleotide ribosomal RNA is filed under the name Glycine max (soybean). RNAcentral describes it as "5.8S ribosomal RNA". It matches the Rfam family "5.8S ribosomal RNA". From Rfam's summary of the family: 5.8S ribosomal RNA (5.8S rRNA) is a component of the large subunit of the eukaryotic ribosome. It is transcribed by RNA polymerase I as part of the 45S precursor that also contains 18S and 28S rRNA. Lineage: Eukaryota; Viridiplantae; Streptophyta; Magnoliopsida; Fabales; Fabaceae. The record is from RNAcentral. RNAcentral also lists the same sequence under 13 other names.
ACAUACAAUGACUCUCGGCAACGGAUAUCUCGGCUCUUGCAUCGAUGAAGAACGUAGCGAAAUGCGAUACUUGGUGUGAAUUGCAGAAUCCCGUGAACCAUCGAGUCUUUGAACGCAAGUUGCGCCCGAAGCCAUUAGGCCGAGGGCACGCCUGCCUGGGUGUCACAC